Egretta garzetta (little egret) is the source of this 1280-nucleotide long non-coding RNA. RefSeq lists it as uncharacterized. NCBI's taxonomy places the organism in Eukaryota, Metazoa, Chordata, Aves, Pelecaniformes, Ardeidae. The record is from RefSeq and is a predicted model, not a curated record. The transcript is spliced from 3 exons.
GUUUUUUCUAAUGUCUUAAAAAUAAGUGUUUUCUUGUGUUUAAGGCAUAUUUUUUAUGUUUAAACUUAUCUCAAACUUACAGAUCUGUCUGCUUGUAAAUCUGAAAUGAUUGUAUGUUUUCUCUGUGCUUAGAUUUUUUUUCCUAAACAUCCCAAGAUAAAAUGAACUACAAAUGUCACAACACAUACAAGGACACCCACCGGAUACAUGGGUUUGCUGCCAUGCGCAUUUUACCGAGAGCUCUAUCGAGAGAAGAACAAAACCCCUGCAAAGAUCUAAGCAGGUGACCUGCACCAAAAGUUAUUUGACACAUUGGUAAAGAAGAAACACUGAAAGUAACUGGAUCCAGUUUUUGUGAUAUCUCUGCCUGCCCAGCCCCAUGAACAAAAUAUUUUUCUACAAAAAAGUAUUGCCAGCUCAUUAUAUAUGUUCAGCUAAAAAAAAAAGGAGUCGGAGAAAGCGAUUUGAAGACUUCUGUUUCAUCUGUGUGAAAAUCCGUGCAAAACAAUAUGACUUAGUUAAUUCUUAACAAGGUAGCUGACUUCAUUGAGCAAGGUAUCCAUAUGGGAUGCGCUUCUGAGGAUAUACCCAAUUAGCUCUGCUGCUGCAACCAAUGUUUAUGGACAUAAAUUCAUGGAUCCCGAGCCUGUUGCUGCCACUGUGUAAGGAGAUUGUUUAUCACUGAAGUUUUGGACAGUCACAGAAGCCUGGUUGUAUAAUUAAAGUUGUAGCAUCUGCACAAUAGUUAUAUACUUAAAAUUACUGUGCCUCAGUAUUACCUCCCUUUACUGAUCUUCAGACGAGCGCAAAAUGAAAUUCAAAAUACAAGCAGUUCAGGCAAAAAUUCCAGUGAGGCCCAUAAAGAGUACAGGAUACUGCAGGGUUUCUAGUGCAAGGGCAGGACUACACUAUUUUUCCGAUCUCAGAAAUGUUGUAAGAGGUAUCUUAAUAUUAUGCAAUGGGAAGGGACUUACUUAUAUCUAUGUGGAGAAAAUGAAAUGAUGCAUAAGUAGUUAGCCUCUGCAGAAGAAGAGACACAGGUUGUAAACCCUUUGGAAAGCCCUUCUCCCAUGCCACCAAGUCAUUGAAAUCAUUGAAAUUGAGUAUUCUUUGGGGAAUAUUAGAGCUGCAAAAACUAGCCUGGCCAUAACUUUAUGUAAGGGAUAAAUUAAAUACAACUAUUAACUCUUGACUCUUUGGAAAGUAAAGGCCGAGUUUGCAUUGGCAAGGUUGAACUGGAUGAUUUCUUUUGGAAAAACACUUGGAUCCUUUUUUUCACA